GACGAACGCUGGCGGCGUGCUUAACACAUGCAAGUCGAGCGGUAAGGCCCUUUCGGGGGUACACGAGCGGCGAACGGGUGAGUAACACGUGGGUGACCUGCCCUCAGCUCUGGGAUAAGCCUGGGAAACCGGGUCUAAUACUGGAUAUGACUCCAUGACGCAUGUUGUGGGGUGGAAAGCCUUGUGCGGCUGAGGAUGGGCCCGCGGCCUAUCAGCUUGUUGGUGGGGUGAUGGCCUACCAAGGCGACGACGGGUAGCCGGCCUGAGAGGGCGACCGGCCACACUGGGACUGAGACACGGCCCAGACUCCUACGGGAGGGCAGCAGUGGGGAAGUCUUGCGCAAUGGGCGAAAGCCUGACGCAGCGACGCCGCGUGAGGGA
This 381-nucleotide ribosomal RNA is filed under the name uncultured bacterium. Its description in RNAcentral is "bacterial SSU rRNA". It matches the Rfam family "Bacterial small subunit ribosomal RNA", at positions 28 to 408 of the family's 1533-position model. The record is from RNAcentral.